RNAcentral lists this ribosomal RNA (621 nucleotides) under Erysiphe euonymicola. Its description in RNAcentral is "partial large subunit ribosomal RNA". It matches the Rfam family "Eukaryotic large subunit ribosomal RNA", at positions 37 to 669 of the family's 3401-position model. The record is from RNAcentral. Lineage: Eukaryota; Fungi; Ascomycota; Leotiomycetes; Helotiales; Erysiphaceae.
UGCAUAUCAAAAAGCGGAGGAAAAGAAACCAACCGGGAUUACCUCAGUAACGGCGAGUGAAGCGGUAACAGCUCAAAUUUGAAAUCUGGCUCUUCCGGAGUCCGAGUUGUAAUUUGUAGAAGAUGCUUUGGGUGGUGGGUUCGGCCUAAGUUCCUUGGAACAGGACGUCAUAAAGGGUGAAAAUCCCGUAUGUGGCCGAGGCCCGCGCCUAUGUAAAGCUCUUUCAACGAGUCGAGUUGUUUGGGAAUGCAGCUCAAAAUGGGUGGUAAAUUUCAUCUAAAGCUAAAUAUGGGCCAGAGACCGAUAGCGCACAAGUAGAGUGAUCGAAAAAUGAAAAGCACUUUGGAAAGAAAGUUAAACAGUACGUGAAAUUGUUGAAAGGGAAGCGCUUGCAACCAAACUUGGGCGCUGUCGAUCACCCCGAGUUCUCUCGAGUGCACUCGACAGCGCACAGGCCACCAUCGGUUCGGGUGGCUGGAUAAAGGCCGUAGGAACGUGGCUCCCUUCGGGGAGUGUUAUAGCCUAGCGGUGCCAUGCAGCCCACCCGGACCGAGGACCGCGCCUUCGGGCUAGGAUGCUGGCGUAAUGGUUGUAAGCGACCCGUCUUGAAACACGGACCAA